RNAcentral lists this ribosomal RNA (406 nucleotides) under uncultured bacterium. Its description in RNAcentral is "partial 16S ribosomal RNA". It matches the Rfam family "Bacterial small subunit ribosomal RNA", at positions 29 to 526 of the family's 1533-position model. The record is from RNAcentral.
AUUGAACGCUGGCGGCAGGCCUAACACAUGCAAGUCGAGCGAGCGGCGGACGGGUGAGUAAUGUCUGGGAAACUGCCUGAUGGAGGGGGAUAACAACAGGAAACGGUAGCUAAUACCGCAUACCAUCAGAUUUUCCCAGAUGGGAUUAGCUAGUAGGUGGGGUAACGGCUCACCUAGGCGACGAGCCCUAGCUGGUCUGAGAGGAUGACCAGCCACACUGGAACUGAGACACGGUCCAGACUCCUACGGGAGGCAGCAGGGGGGAAUAUGGCACAAUGGGCGCAAGCCUGAUGCAGCCAUGCCGCGUGUGUGAAGAAGGCCUUCGGGUUGUAAAGCACUUUCAGCGGGGAGGCGUUACCCGCAGAAGAAGCACCGGCUAACUCCGUGCCAGCAGCCGCGGUAAUAC